UACGUAGGGGGCAAGCGUUGUCCGGAAUCAUUGGGCGUAAAGCGCGUGUAGGCGGCCCGGUAAGUCCGCUGUAAAAGUCCAGGGCUCAACCCUGGAAAGCCGGUGGAUACUGUCGGGCUCGAGUCCGGAAGAGGCGAGUGGAAUUCCUGGUGUAGCGGUGAAAUGCGUAGAGAUGGGGGAGAACACUCGUGGCGAAGGCGGCCAGCUAGACCAGUUCUGACACUGAGGCGCGACAGCGUGGGGAGCAAACAGG
Molecule: ribosomal RNA, 253 nt
Filed under: uncultured bacterium
Lineage: Bacteria
Description: partial 16S ribosomal RNA
Rfam family: Bacterial small subunit ribosomal RNA
Source: RNAcentral